GUUGGGUGUUUGGAGUCCAAGAGACCUGAGAUCAGAGUCCAGCAUUGUCACUUCAUCCAGCCUUGGCAGUGUGGGAUGUGACUCUGCCUCUGAACCGCAGUUAUACCAUCUGUGCUGGUGGCGUUGUGAGGAUGGCAGGUAACAAAGGUGAAGCUCCUGGCCCCAGUGGGCCUUCAAGGAUGGCAGCUGCUCCUGCCCCCUACUGGGGUUGCACUCAUUCGUUGCCUGCUCUGGGGAGUCCUAUGGGGUUUCUUAGCUGGCCCUGCCCAUGGUGGAGAAAGAGGGAUCCACCCAUUGCUGAUUGGGCCCAGAGGAAAUGAGGACACUGCGUGAAGCCAAGACAGCAGACGCCCUGCUGGCGGACUUGGAGUCUACCACCUCCCACAUCUCCAAACGGCCUGUGUUCUUGUCGGAGGAGACCCCCUACUCAUACCCAACUGGAAACCACACAUACCAGGAGAUUGCCGUGCCACCCCCCGUCCCCCCACCCCCGUCCAGCGAGGCCCUCAAUGGCACAAUCCUUGACCCCUUAGACCAGUGGCAGCCCAGC
Molecule: non-coding RNA, 550 nt
Filed under: Pan troglodytes (chimpanzee)
Lineage: Eukaryota; Metazoa; Chordata; Mammalia; Primates; Hominidae
Also listed under: 1 other name
Source: RNAcentral